Molecule: long non-coding RNA, 1901 nt
Organism: Pseudophryne corroboree (corroboree frog)
Lineage: Eukaryota; Metazoa; Chordata; Amphibia; Anura; Myobatrachidae
Exons: 2
Source: RefSeq, a predicted model, not a curated record
CUGUCUGCUUUCCCUGUGCUGACACGUGACAGAGUCCCAGGGGCAUGGCUGCUGCUGUCGUAUCGUUUGGUCGUUUGCGAUGGUUCAUUAUAAUGACGUUCCUUACACUGUGGAGAAGUGGAAAAGUAUUGCACAAGAACUUGAAGACUGCUGGAAUUUCCCAAAUUGUGGAGGAGCCAUUGAUGGGAAGCACAUAUGCGCAUAACACCACCUUCUAAAGGGCCAGUCGGACAAUAUGGCAGCCGGACAACCCAGCGGUGGUGCGGAGGGUGACGGGGGGAGUGAAGUUUUUUCACUCCCUGACAUCACCCGGCCCCAAAGCCCUGCAUGCUAAUAUGGACGAGUUUGUCCAUAUUGGCUUGCAUGUAUAAACGAGCCGACACCAACGAUGAACGAGCGCGGGACCGCACAUCGUUCAUCGUUGGUGCCUACACACUGCACGAUAUGAACGAUAUCUCAUCCAUUAAUGAAUGAGAUCGUUCAUAUUGCUCAGUGUAAUCGGGAAGUGUGUAGGGCCCUUAACAGUAGAUCCUACUACUACCUUAUAAAUGCUUCUUUAGCACUGUACUGAUUGCUGUGGUCAAUGUGUCCUGGGAAUUUAUUUAUGUAGACAUCUGGAAGAAUGGCACAGCUUUAGAUGGUGGCUCCUUUCAAGAGACAACGUUCUACCAAAGACUGAUGUCCAGCACUGUGAAUGUGCCGUCUGUUGAAGAAACUAAGCAUGGACUGCCGUUUGUCUUUGUGGCUGAUGAGGCUUUGCUUUGCAUGAAAACUCUAUAAAGCCAUACCCGCAAAGGGCAUUUUACCAAACAGAGGCAGAUUUUUAAUUAUAGACUUUCAAGAGCUAAGCGGAAUGUGGGGAUCGCUUUUGGAAUUUUAAGUAAUAGAUUCUGCGUUUUUAAUACAGCCAUCACUCUGCCUGUGGAUGCGAUGGCUGGGUGGUAUUGCCAUGCUGUAUGCUGCAAAACUUUCUACACUCAGCCAAAAUGAAAAGCCCGCUGGCACUGUUAUGCCAGAUGACGUGGAGCAUGCAGAGGAGGGGGAUAGAUGGAAAACCACUUGCUGCAACCGGUGUGCAAACAUUCAGUGCACAUGCAAAACAGGCCCGGCAGGAAUAUAUUUCAGUGGUGUGGGGACAGUGCCGUGGUAAGAUGAUAGCUAAAUGUAAAAGUCUGCGAGAAAGAGAAGGUGCGGGAUUUCGUGUGAGUCUGGACAGAUUUUUAAAGCUGCAAUCAUUUACACGGCAUAACCAGGUUUGUUUUGCUGUAUACAUGAUUGCCGCUUUAAAAAUCCAACCAGACCUUCACUAAAUCCAACACUCCCUGCUUCUUGAAGGCUAUUACAUUUAGCCCGCCAUCCCCAUACUGCUACAUUUCCUAUCGCCUUCAUCGUCCCUUUCCACCAGGUCAAUGGAGUUUAAGAUGCCCUCUGUUCGCCUUGAUUUAUGCUGAAUUUGAGCAAGUUGUAGUAGCAUAAUGUUGGUACAUAGACUUCAUCUGAUCCCGCAUCGGAUCUUUUGGAUGCCAUACUUUUCUUGUGCUCCUUUAAGAGGACUGUGCAGAAACUUUGAAUUUUCUUCUUCGCCCAUUCCGUGUCAGCUUCGCUGUGGAAUGGCUUGCUGACGAAUACUAGGGCCUGUACAGCUGCGAUUCGUUUAACUUUGUUGGAAUUAUCCUUGGAGCGUAUCCUCCAAAGACAAUCGUUUUGCCGGUAGACUUCGGGGAAUUCCGUGACAAACUCUGCAUUCUUCUCCAAAGACAUGAUAUCUGUAAUAAAGGACACAAAAUGACUAUUAAAAAUUGGUACAUUACACUACCAUAGCAACUUGUUAUUGUUGAAAUUCAAAAAAAAUUUUUUAAUGUAGAUUUAAAUUAAAAAAAUGUAUUAUUGAAGUCUAAAAA